Molecule: ribosomal RNA, 565 nt
Filed under: Ilyonectria sp. OTU031 AN-2016
Lineage: Eukaryota; Fungi; Ascomycota; Sordariomycetes; Hypocreales; Nectriaceae
Description: eukaryotic LSU rRNA
Rfam family: 5.8S ribosomal RNA (bases 194-347)
Source: RNAcentral
AUAGAGGAAGUAAAAGUCGUAACAAGGUCUCCGUUGGUGAACCAGCGGAGGGAUCAUUACCGAGUUUACAACUCCCAAACCCCUGUGAACAUACCAUUUGUUGCCUCGGCGGUGCCUGCUUCGGCAGCCCGCCAGAGGACCCAAACCCUUGAUUUUAUACAGUAUCUUCUGAGUAAAUGAUUAAAUAAAUCAAAACUUUCAACAACGGAUCUCUUGGUUCUGGCAUCGAUGAAGAACGCAGCGAAAUGCGAUAAGUAAUGUGAAUUGCAGAAUUCAGUGAAUCAUCGAAUCUUUGAACGCACAUUGCGCCCGCCAGUAUUCUGGCGGGCAUGCCUGUUCGAGCGUCAUUUCAACCCUCAAGCCCCCGGGCUUGGUGUUGGAGAUCGGCGUGCCCCCCGGGGCGCGCCGGCUCCCAAAUAUAGUGGCGGUCUCGCUGUAGCUUCCUCUGCGUAGUAGCACACCUCGCACUGGAAAACAGCGUGGCCACGCCGUUAAACCCCCCACUUCUGAAAGGUUGACCUCGGAUCAGGUAGGAAUACCCGCUGAACUUAAGCAUAUCAAUAGG